RNAcentral lists this long non-coding RNA (1353 nucleotides) under Callithrix jacchus (white-tufted-ear marmoset). RNAcentral describes it as "lncRNA (ENSCJAG00000079715.1)". Lineage: Eukaryota; Metazoa; Chordata; Mammalia; Primates; Cebidae. The record is from RNAcentral.
CUUUUUCUGUGGUAGCGCCCCUCCCACGUGGAAGGCAUUCCCAGUCCUAUCGUAUUCUACAUGUACAGCACUGAGGUUUGUUAGUGUGAGAAGCCCAAGAGAAAGACCAUGUUAUUACAGAGGGUUAAAAAAAACAUUGAGCUACUUUUAUAAACUACAAAAGUAAUAUGUGCUCAUGGUAAAAAUCUCAAAAUUAAAAAUACAGAAUGUUGUAAAACAAACAAUAAAAAGACCGCUCUGAUUUCCUAGGUUAAAAAACUGCCCUGGGUUCUUCCUUCUAUAAUUUUAUAUACAGUUAAACACAUUUUUAAACAUAGAUGGGGUCAUAUUAUACAUAGUCUUCUGCAUCUUGUUUUGUUUUAGGUACCUGACCAAUAUGCAAACUGACUGCUAACAUAGUCGCCUUCCAAAGAUGAUUCAGCCUUGAUGUGGACAGGUUUACAAAAAGAGUCCAACCAGCAUAUGUUUCUAUGAAUCUGCCAUCAUCAGGUACGGUGCAUUUGCUUAACUGCUCUGUCUCCUGGCAUUGAUUGUUUGCUGUGGUUCACUGUGCUAGGCAAGGGGACUAAAGAGUUGAGUAACAUGGAGUUCCUACUCUGGACUUUAUCUGAGGAGGGAAACAGAUAUAUGCAGGUGAUAGUGUUUGGUUCUGUGUCCCCACCCAAAUCUCAUAUUGAAGUGUAAUCCCCAUGUGUGGAGGGAGGGAGCUGGCAUAGGUGAUUGGCUCAUUGGGGGUGGUUCCCCCAUGCUGUUCUCGUGAUAGUGAGUGAGUUCUCACGAGAUCUGAUGGUUUUAAAAGCGGCACUUCCUCCUUCACUCUCUCUCUCUCCUUCCACCUUGUGAAGAAGGUGCCUGCUUCCCCUUCACCUCCCACCAUGACUGUAAGUUUCCUGAGGUCUCCUGUAAGUUCCUUCAACCAUGCAGAACUAUAAAUAGAGCAGAAUUUGAAAUGCAAGAUAACUUUCUGGAGCCCAAGAUAAAACAUUCAAAAAUAAGUGGGAAUCCUGGGCACAGUGGCUAAUGCCCGUAAAGCCAACACUUUAGGAAUACAAGGCAGGAGGAUCACCGGAGCUCAGGAGUUCAAGACCAGCCUGGGCAACAUAGCAAGAACCCAUAUCUACAAAAAACAACAACAACAACAAAAAAAAUUAGCUGGGCAUAGCCAUGUAUGCCUGUGGUUCCAGCUACUCAGGAGGCUGAGGUGAGUGGAUUGCUUGAGCUUGGGAGGUCAAGGCUGCAGUGAGCCAUGACCACACCACUACCCUCCAGCCUGGGCAAUAGAGUGAGACCCCCUGUGUCAAACAAACAAACAACCACAACUAAAAAACCUAAAAUGUAAAUGGGUAAGCAGAG